GAUCAAUGGCUCAGGAUGAACGCUAGCGGCAGGCUUAACACAUGCAAGUCGAGGGGCAGCACGAGGUAGCAAUACUUUGGUGGCGACCGGCGCACGGGUGCGUAACGCGUAUGCAACCUACCUUUAACAGGGGCAUAACACUGAGAAAUUGGUACUAAUUCCCCAUAACAUUCGAGAAGGCAUCUUCUUGGGUUAAAAACUCCGGUGGUUAAAGAUGGGCAUGCGUUGUAUUAGCUAGUUGGUGAGGUAACGG
Molecule: ribosomal RNA, 253 nt
Filed under: uncultured bacterium
Lineage: Bacteria
Description: partial 16S ribosomal RNA
Rfam family: Bacterial small subunit ribosomal RNA
Source: RNAcentral